GACGAACGCUGGCGGCGUGCUUAACACAUGCAAGUCGAACGGAAAGGCCCUGCUUGCAGGGUACUCGAGUGGCGAACGGGUGAGUAACACGUGGGUGAUCUGCCCUGCACUUCGGGAUAAGCCUGGGAAACUGGGUCUAAUACCGGAUAGGAGCCAUUUUUAGUGUGAUGGUUGGAAAGUUUUUUCGGUGUAGGAUGAGCUCGCGGCCUAUCAGCUUGUUGGUGGGGUAAUGGCCUACCAAGGCGGCGACGGGUAGCCGGCCUGAGAGGGUGGACGGCCACAUUGGGACUGAGAUACGGCCAAGACUCCUACGGGAGGCAGAAGUGGGGAAUAUUGCACAAUGGGCGCAAGCCUGAUGCAGGGAGGCCGCGUGGGGGAUGACGGCCUUCGGGUUGUAAACUCCUUUCGCUAGGGACGAAGCUUUUUGUGACGGUACCUAGAUAAGAAGCACCGGCUAACUACGUG
This 465-nucleotide ribosomal RNA is filed under the name uncultured bacterium. RNAcentral's name for it is "partial 16S ribosomal RNA". It matches the Rfam family "Bacterial small subunit ribosomal RNA", at positions 28 to 507 of the family's 1533-position model. The record is from RNAcentral.